RNAcentral lists this ribosomal RNA (465 nucleotides) under uncultured bacterium. RNAcentral's name for it is "partial 16S ribosomal RNA". It matches the Rfam family "Bacterial small subunit ribosomal RNA", at positions 28 to 507 of the family's 1533-position model. The record is from RNAcentral.
GACGAACGCUGGCGGCGUGCUUAACACAUGCAAGUCGAACGGAAAGGCCCCUUUGGGGGUACUCGAGUGGCGCACGGGUGAGUAACACGUGAGUAACCUGCCCUUGACUUCGGGAUAACUUCAGGAAACUGGGGCUAAUACCGGAUAGGAAUCCUUGCUGCAUGGUGGGGGUUGGAAAGCUUCUGCGGUUUUGGAUGGACUCGCGGCUUAUCAGCUUGUUGGUGGGGUAGUGGCUUACCAAGGCUUUGACGGGUAGCCGGCCUGAGAGGGCGACCGGCCACAUUGGGACUGAGAUACGGCCCAGACUCCUACGGGAGGCAGCAGUGGGGAAUAUUGCACAAUGGGCGGAAGCCUGAUGCAGCAACGCCGCGUGCGGGAUGACGGCCUUCGGGUUGUAAACCGCUUUCAGCAGGGGCGAAGCUUGUGGUGACGGUACCUGCAGAAGAAGCACCGGCUAACUACGUG